CUUUGUUGUUGAAGUUGGGUAUAUGUGUACUUAAUCCGAAUAUUCUGCUCAAAUCCAGCUAAAGAAUCUCAAGCUUAUUUCAUUUUAACUUUGACAUCUGAACUAUUGCAAACCAGCAUUAUAUGCAAAUAGUUCAAGUAUAUGUAAACCCGGAUCAUUUUAAAACCGUAAGAUUGUGUUGGCAGGAAGGAGUGCCACUGCAUGCUCUUUCUCACUCCUGACAAUGAUUUUGCUGGACCGGAACAGACCAUCUCCUUGGAAGAGAUCAGAGAAUCAACAGCAAACAUGUAAUAAGCUUUAGUGUGUAUUGAAAAGUAUGUGUAAACAGUCCACUUCUGUAUUUGUGAAAGGAAAAAAAAAAUUGGGUUAAUCGUUUUAUUAGUCUUUGAACUUA
Molecule: non-coding RNA, 394 nt
Organism: Prunus avium (sweet cherry)
Lineage: Eukaryota; Viridiplantae; Streptophyta; Magnoliopsida; Rosales; Rosaceae
Source: RefSeq, a predicted model, not a curated record